RNAcentral lists this ribosomal RNA (484 nucleotides) under uncultured bacterium. RNAcentral describes it as "partial 16S ribosomal RNA". It matches the Rfam family "Bacterial small subunit ribosomal RNA", at positions 30 to 507 of the family's 1533-position model. The record is from RNAcentral.
AUUGAACGCUGGCGGCAGGCCUAACACAUGCAAGUCGAACGGAUGAAGGGAGCUUGCUCCUGGAUUCAGCGGCGGACGAGUGGGUAAUGCCUAGGAAUCUGCCUGGUAGUGGGGGAUAACGUCCGGAAACGGGCGCUAAUACCGCAUACGUCCUGAGGGAGAAAGUGGGGGAUCUUCGGACCUCACGCUAUCAGAUGAGCCUAGGUCGGAUUAGCUAGUUGGUGGGGUAAAGGCCUACCAAGGCGACGAUCCGUAACUGGUCUGAGAGGAUGAUCAGUCACACUGGAACUGAGACACGGUCCAGACUCCUACGGGAGGCAGCAGUGGGGAAUAUUGGACAAUGGGCGAAAGCCUGAUCCAGCCAUGCCGCGUGUGUGAAGAAGGUCUUCGGAUUGUAAAGCACUUUAAGUUGGGAGGAAGGGCAGUAAGUUAAUACCUUGCUGUUUUGACGUUACCAACAGAAUAAGCACCGGCUAACUUCGUG